This is a long non-coding RNA of Trifolium pratense (red clover), 1947 nucleotides long. RefSeq lists it as uncharacterized. NCBI's taxonomy places the organism in Eukaryota, Viridiplantae, Streptophyta, Magnoliopsida, Fabales, Fabaceae. The transcript is spliced from 2 exons. The record is from RefSeq and is a predicted model, not a curated record.
AUAUAUAUAUAUAAUAGAAACAAAGUUUGUAUAAAAAAAAAAAAAGAAACUAAGUAAUCAGAUUGAGAUAUAAAAAGGGUAGAUUGAGAUUAAAAAAAAGAAAGAAAAAAAAAACACUACCCUUUCGUAAAAAAGAAAAGUAGAAAACCCUUGUCAUUCCGAUUUCAAUUUUUUCACAAGGUGAAGUUCUGCGUUUUCUCCCGCAACUACAACAACAACUGCGAGCGAUAACGAAAUGGGGUUCUUCUCCUUCUGCUGGCUCGUUUACUCUUUGAUUCACUCUUCGUCCUCCCCGCACGGCAGAUUUCAGAUCUCUCUAUCUCUUCGUUCUCCACAGCGUAGCGUUGUUCCCUGUUCAAGUGCUCAUUGCUAACCACCGGCGCCGUGUUUCUCCUAUUUUUCGUUCUUCUUCUCAUUGUGGGCUCUUCUUCUUAUAUAAGAGAUUAUUUGUAGCGGGUUGAAGAGCAAUGGUGUUUGUUUUGGUCAAAGUAGAUAUUCUGCAGAAGAAUGAAUUGGGUUGCAACAAAACCUACAAAAAGGAAUCAAAAUUGGAGCAUGAUGCCACACUUCAGUUCAUUUUUAGGUUUUGGGGUGGUUCAGGUACCAAAGCUAUUUCUGUUAUUUUAGGACUUGGUGUGGUUUAGGUGCCAAAGUUAAUUUUAAUUGUGAAGCUUUUGAAUCUUAACUGGAACAACUAUUGUUACUCCAUAUGACCAAAGUAAAUCCUAAUUCUCUUUGUUUUUCUUGUUUUCCUUUGAAAAUAAUGGUAGCUAACUCCUUGUUGGGUUGUUUCUUAAUUUCAGUUUGUUUUUGAUGAGCAGGCAUUAGGGAUGAGCAUAGAUCAGUUUAUGUGAGAAACUCCAACUGAACCCAACUGAACUGGUAAACCAGUUUGUCAAACCCAACCGAACUGUUUUUCGUGCAGCUUUGAACCAAACUGAACUGGAAUUUCAGUUCCAGUGUACCAGUUUUAACAUUGUCAUAUGUUUUUCAAGAAUCUAAAGCCUUUUAUUACUUUUGCUUAUUUAUCCCAAUGGGGACUAAGAAGGGUCACUUUCAUUGCAUAUAUUAGUUAUCCACAAAAUAGGGUUCUUUUUAAGUGUAGUGGAGUAGCAUAUUUGAAGCUUACACUUGACACUAUUGUUUUUACUGUUGUUUUUCAUAGAGGAAGGUGUCUUGUGUUUUGCAAUUAGGUUAUAAACAAUCUAUUUAAAACAUAGAAGCCUCUUGACGAUAUAUUGUAGACCAAAGUCAAUUAGUGUUGUUUUAUUUCUUGUCUAUGCACAUAACAUUGAAUUGGAUUUUGGUACUUCUGUUUCUACUUAUAUUUGUUUCUUCUAUUUCCUCUUAACUGAGUUAUUGUAUCUUCAGUGCUAUCAAGCUUGAUGUUUUCCUUCUCAAUUAUGUGAAUGUUGUAUUAACUUGAUGAUUUAGAUUCAGUUACAUUAUGCAAUAAUAGUAUUUUCCACUUUGUGAUAUAAUUUUAUACUUGUUUGCCAGGUUUGAUGAAAACAAUUCAGCGGAAGCGGUUAUGAGAGUUCAUUGUGGUUAUUGAUGAGGUUGCAAUGUAGAGACAACAACAUAUGGACUAUGGAGAAGCUGUACAAGGCCAACCAUGUCGGGGGGAGUACGAACAUUAUCUACGGUGAAAAUGGAUUAUGAUCAAAGAAAGGUUGGAAUUGAUAAUGAUCAUUGAAAGAAAGGGAUUAUGUCCAAUUUUAGUUGUAUUUAUGGUUGAGUAAAUAUUGUCUUAACUUGUAUUUGAGAAGUCAUGGGAGCACAAACCAUGACUUUAGGUUUUUAUAGUAGGAGGUACUUUUUAGUAUCCAUAGAAUGGAGGUAAUCCACUAUGCAUUUAUGUAAAACUACAAACAUUUGAAUAAAGGAUCAUGUAUUUGCCUCACUUUUAUUUCAAAUAUAUAAUUUGAAUAUUAAAUUUGGUCAAAA